This 253-nucleotide ribosomal RNA is filed under the name uncultured bacterium. RNAcentral's name for it is "partial 16S ribosomal RNA". It matches the Rfam family "Bacterial small subunit ribosomal RNA", at positions 524 to 776 of the family's 1533-position model. The record is from RNAcentral.
UACGAAGGAGGCUAGCGUUGCUCGGAAUCACUGGGCGUAAAGCGCACGUAGGCGGAUUGCUAAGUCAGGGGUGAAAUCCUGGAGCUCAACUCCAGAACUGCCUUUGAUACUGGCGAUCUCGAGUUCGGGAGAGGUGAGUGGAACUGCGAGUGUAGAGGUGAAAUUCGUAGAUAUUCGCAAGAACACCAGUGGCGAAGGCGGCUCACUGGCCCAAUACUGACGCUGAGGUGCGAAAGCGUGGGGAGCAAACAGG